RNAcentral lists this ribosomal RNA (287 nucleotides) under uncultured bacterium. RNAcentral describes it as "partial 16S ribosomal RNA". It matches the Rfam family "Bacterial small subunit ribosomal RNA", at positions 775 to 1067 of the family's 1533-position model. The record is from RNAcentral.
GGAUUAGAUACCCUGGUAGUCCACGCCGUAAACGAUGAUCACUCGCUGUAUGCGAUACACAGUAUGCGGCCAAGCGAAAGCAUUAAGUGAUCCACCUGGGGAGUACGAUCGCAAGGUUGAAACUCAAAGGAAUUGACGGGGGCCCGCACAAGCGGAGGAACAUGUGGUUUAAUUCGAUGAUACGCGAGAAACCUUACCUGGGCUUAAAUGGGGAACGACAGCAGCCGAAAGGUUGCCUUCUUCGGACGUUCUUCAAGGUGCUGCAUGGUUGUCGUCAGCUCGUGCCG